AUGAAGGAAGGGGGUCAGAAGAAGAACAUCCUGGCCAAGACGCUCCAGAAGUGCCGGUCGCUGGGCCACCGGAGGCAGCCGGCGGCCUACGGCGGUGGCGGCGCUGGCAGCAGCGCCAGUGCCCCGGCGUCGCCACGCGCGGCCGAUGGCAGGGUGGCGGCGUGGGCCGUGCCGGCGGGGUACUUCGCCGUGCUCGUGGGGCCAGGCAAGGAGCGGUUCGCGGUGCGCGCCAGGUGCGCAAACCACCCCCUGUUCCGCGCGCUGCUGGACGAGGCCGAGACGGAGUACGGCUUCGCCGGCUGCAUCGGCCCGCUCGAGCUGCCCUGCGCCGUCGAUGAUUUCAUGGAGGUGAUGUGGGAGAUGGAGCAGGGGGGCGGUGUCACAUCCCUAGCUUCUGGCAUUGCUCUAGGCUAG
This 414-nucleotide ribosomal RNA is filed under the name Triticum aestivum (bread wheat). RNAcentral's name for it is "partial small subunit ribosomal RNA". The record is from RNAcentral. Lineage: Eukaryota; Viridiplantae; Streptophyta; Magnoliopsida; Poales; Poaceae.